RNAcentral lists this unclassified non-coding RNA (1450 nucleotides) under Acyrthosiphon pisum (pea aphid). RNAcentral describes it as "twitchin-like, transcript variant X1". Lineage: Eukaryota; Metazoa; Arthropoda; Insecta; Hemiptera; Aphididae. The record is from RNAcentral.
UCAUUGAUAAACAUGUCUCACCCAUAGAGUACCAUACAUUAAAAUCACAUUAUGUUUGUUUUAAAUUUUAAUACACUUUAAAUUAUUGUAGCUCAUAAAUAAUUGCAUGAAUUAUUAGAUAGGGUGUUGACGAAUAGAAUUUGACUUAUGAUGCUUACUUCAGAAUAAUAAUAGGUUAUAUCGGAAUGCAAUGUUCAAAUCGUAAGUACACCAUACAACACAAAAAUUUCUUUGUCAGAUACGGGACGUAAAAUUACUGCUGAAAAUGAAUUUGGCAAGGACGAAGCUACUGUUCAAGUGACCGUUUUGUGUUGGUCCUCCAAUAAGACCUCAAGUUCCUCUUAAAGUGAAAGAUGUUAAAAGCCGUGGGGCUUAAGUCAAAUGGGACAAACCAACGGAUGAAAAAUAUUUUGAACUAAACAUCGACAUCAUAUUAUAUGUAAAACCACUGAUAUGUUCCUUUGCCAAUAAACCAUUGAUAAAUGGAUGUUCAAUGAAAAUGGAAAAUGAAGAUUAUAAUACAAAACUAAAUUUAUCUGAAAAUACUAGAAAUAAUACAGAAGUCUAUAGUUGACGAGCAAAAAAUGCUUCAGGUUUUGAUAAAACUACUGUAGAAGUCAUUAUUUUAGAUAAACCUAGACCCCCAGUUGGGCCACUUGAAGUCACAGACGUACAUAAAGAAGAAUGUACACUACACUGGAACAAACCUAAAGAUGAUGGUGGAUUGCCCAAUACUGGGUAUUUAGUUGAGAAAAUGGAUACCACAACUAGAAAAUGAGUACCUGCAGGUUUCGUUGAUCCAACAAAAUUAGAACACAAAAUAAACGGUCUGGAACCGAAUAGAAAGUAUCAUUUCACAAUGAAAGCAUUAAACAUGAAGGAGAAUUCACACCGUUAGAUUCUGAUGCUACGAUAAUUGCUAAAAAUCCUUAUGACACUUUAUUACCUGCAAAGUGGAUGAUACAAGUUAAUAUAAAAAAUGUUGCUAUUCAUCAUUAUCUUGGUUUUUCUAUCGGAUACGCGUGGUCCUCUGGGAUUACUUGAAGUUAUUGACUAUGACGAAAAUAUGGUAGAAUUAAAAUGGGAUGCAUCAUGGCGAAUCUCCAAUAAUAGUCCAACGUGUGUUAAGGAAUUGUUCCUGAUAACUGAAGGUCAUCAGUAUGAGUUUAGGGUGCGCGCAGUAAAUAAAGCUGGACCUGGUGAAGCGAGUGAAACAACAUUACUUCAUCUUGCUAUGCUCAAAAAUUUGGCUCCACAUAUCGAUAGGAACACUCUCUCGAAGAUUAAAGUUUGAGCCGGAAACAUGUUUGAAUUUGAUCUUGUGUCCGGAGAACCUCCUCCAACUAAAUAAUGGCUUAGAGGAAACGUGCUAGUAAAAACUGAAAACAUUAAUUUAUUACUUGGUAGCAAUAAUGGAAUGGACAAAGCUGCAGUCAAAGUUACAGUUAUA